This 253-nucleotide ribosomal RNA is filed under the name uncultured bacterium. Its description in RNAcentral is "partial 16S ribosomal RNA". It matches the Rfam family "Bacterial small subunit ribosomal RNA", at positions 524 to 776 of the family's 1533-position model. The record is from RNAcentral.
UACGUAGGCAGCGAGCGUUGUUCGGAAUUACUGGGCGUAAAGAGUGUGUAGGCGGUGCUCUAAGUUCGGUGUGAAAUCUCUCGGCUUAACUGGGAGGGUGCGCCGGAAACUGGAGUGCUCGAACGUGGGAGAGGAAAGCGGAAUUCCUGGUGUAGCGGUGAAAUGCGUAGAUAUCAGGAGGAACACCUGCGGUGUAGACGGCUUUCUGGACCAUAGUUGACGCUGAGACACGAAAGCGUGGGUAGCAAACAGG